Long non-coding RNA from Salvia miltiorrhiza (redroot sage), 526 nucleotides. RefSeq lists it as uncharacterized. Lineage: Eukaryota; Viridiplantae; Streptophyta; Magnoliopsida; Lamiales; Lamiaceae. The record is from RefSeq and is a predicted model, not a curated record. The transcript has 3 exons.
UGGACCACUACAUUUUCUACAGAGCUUUUUCGGCUGAAGUUCCUCGUUUGUAGAUUUUUGAAAGGAGGUAUGUGUUGCUGCUCUAAUGAAGAACUCGAGGUCCUUUCCAACCCUUAUCACAGACAAAUUCCCAGAAUUCUCUUUUUCAGCCUUCUUGGUAUAACGUACUUCUUCCUCGCACCCCUUAUUUUGUAUCUGAUCACUCUCUCCCAAUAACUACACUGUGUGCAGGAGGAUGCUACUCCAAAAAGGAAAUUGAUGAAGUAAGGAUAGAGUGGGCAGAAUUUGUAUGUAAAAUCACAGAUGAGUGAUGAUGGAUGGUGUAACUUGCUUGUUUUCGGUGUUUGCAGUUAUGUUUCAAUUAGUAGGAUGAUGAUGUUUGGAUUCUAAUGUAAUGUAGGAUGAUGAUGUUUGGAUUCUAAUGUAAUGUAGGUAUGAUGAUGUUGGAUUCUAAUGUAAUGUAUGGAUGAUGAUGUUGGAUUAUAAUCUAUGAAUUUUAUUAUUAAUUUAUGUAUUUUUAGCUUUU